Molecule: long non-coding RNA, 413 nt
Filed under: Junco hyemalis (dark-eyed junco)
Lineage: Eukaryota; Metazoa; Chordata; Aves; Passeriformes; Passerellidae
Description: lncRNA (ENSJHYG00000009883.1)
Source: RNAcentral
GUUUCUCAUUGCCUGGUGGUAAGGCAGCUUUACCUUUGAAACCACACCAGCUCUGGCAGUCUUAGGAAUCCCUCGUACACCAGGAAAAUACAAGUUCUAAAAGACAUGCCCAGGCACAUUUGCUCAAAUAUGUGCUGUAUAUGAGGUAUUCAAUUCCCUUCCUACGUGUUGUGGAGAAACUGUAAUCCUUUAAAGAUUACUGACAAACACAAUGAAAAAAAGAAGUUGAUAGACCAAAAUAUGAAGGUGGGUGGAAAAGAAAUGACAAUCUUAUACACAGGUUAAGUAGGUAAUGUAGGCCAUGUUUGGACAACAUUCUAAUUUAUUGAAAGCAAUCAAUAUUUCAGUUUUGACAGACAUAUCUUGAUAACAACUUUUCAGUCUAUGCUUUAUGAGGGAAAACAAACACUGUU